GGGUCAGUAGGUUGGUCGUGCCUCCGGUACGUACUGGUCUCACUGAUUCCUCCUUCCUGAAGAACCGUAAUGCCAUUAAUUUGGUGUUGCGGGGAAACAGGACUGUUACUUUGAAAAAAUUAUAGUGUUUAAAGCAAGCUAACGCUUGAAUACAUUAGCAUGGAAUAAUGAAAUAGGACGAUCGAUCCUAUUUUGUUGGUUUCUAGGAUUGACGUA
RNAcentral lists this ribosomal RNA (216 nucleotides) under Glomeromycotina sp. Its description in RNAcentral is "partial small subunit ribosomal RNA". The stretch from base 40 to 216 matches the Rfam family "Eukaryotic small subunit ribosomal RNA", at positions 686 to 864 of the family's 1831-position model. The record is from RNAcentral. Lineage: Eukaryota; Fungi; Glomeromycota.